This 390-nucleotide ribosomal RNA is filed under the name Halichoeres californicus. Its description in RNAcentral is "Oxyjulis californica partial 12S ribosomal RNA". It matches the Rfam family "Bacterial small subunit ribosomal RNA", at positions 794 to 1384 of the family's 1533-position model. The record is from RNAcentral. Lineage: Eukaryota; Metazoa; Chordata; Actinopteri; Labriformes; Labridae.
GCUUAGCCCUAAACAUAGAUAAUAACCUACUUAUUUUAUCCGCCCGGGUACUACGAGCGUUAGCUUAAAACCCAAAGGACUUGGCGGUGCUUUAGAUCCACCUAGAGGAGCCUGUUCUAGAACCGAUAAUCCCCGUUAAACCUCACCUUUCCUUGUCUUUUCCCGCCUAUAUACCGCCGUCGUCAGCUUACUCUGUGAAGAGUUAGUAGUAAGCACAAUUGGCACAGCCUAAAACGCCAGGUCGAGGUGUAGCGAAUGGAGGGGGAAGAAAUGGGCUACAUUCAAUACUAAUACUGAAUACGAAUGACGUUCUGAAAUUGAACGUCUGAAGGAGGAUUUAGUAGUAAGUAGGGAAUAGAGUGCCCUGCUGAAAUUGGCCCUGAAGCGCGU